RNAcentral lists this transfer RNA (76 nucleotides) under Betaproteobacteria bacterium. RNAcentral describes it as "tRNA-Thr". It matches the Rfam family "tRNA". From Rfam's summary of the family: Transfer RNA (tRNA) molecules are approximately 80 nucleotides in length. Lineage: Bacteria; Pseudomonadati; Pseudomonadota; Betaproteobacteria. The record is from RNAcentral.
GCCGCUUUAGCUCAGUUGGUAGAGCACUCGAUUUGUAAUCGAGCGGUCGUCUGUUCGAAUCAGACAAGCGGCACCA